This 602-nucleotide ribosomal RNA is filed under the name uncultured bacterium. RNAcentral's name for it is "partial 16S ribosomal RNA". The record is from RNAcentral.
UUGGGAGCUCUCCCAUAUGUCGACCUGCAGGCGGCCGCGAAUUCACUAGUGAUUCGUAUUACCGCGGCUGCUGGCACGAAGUUAGCCGUUGCUUAUUCCUCAGGUACCGUCGGGUGUCUUCCCUGAGAAAAGAGGUUUACGACCCGAAGGCCUUCAUCCCUCACGCGGCGUGGCUGCGUCAGAGUUUCCUCCAUUGCGCAAAAUUCCUAACUGCUGCCUCCCGUAGGAGUCUGGGCCGUGUCUCAAUCCCAGUCUGGCUGGCCAUCCUCUCAGACCAGCUACGGAUCGAAGCCUUGGUAUGCCGUUACCACACCAACUAGCUAAUCCGCCGCAGGCCCCUCCCAAAGCGUCUUGCGACUUUAAGCACCGAAAUGAAUCGGUGGUCACAUCCGGUAUUAGCAACUCUUUCGAGUUGUUAUCCCAAACUUCGGGGCAGGUCACCUACGUGUUACUCAGCCGUUCGCCACUCACUUCAGUCCUUGCGGACUGAAGUCCGUUCGACUUGCAUGUUUUAUGCACGCCGCCAGCGUUUGUCCUGAGCCAUGAUCAAACUCUAAUCGAAUUCCCGCGGCCGCCAUGGCGGCCGGGAGCAUGCGACGUCG